UGAACGCUGGCGGAAUGCUUUACACAUGCAAGUCGAACGGCAGCACGGACUUCGGUCUGGUGGCGAGUGGCGAACGGGUGAGUAAUGUAUCGGAACGUGCCCAGUCGUGGGGGAUAACGUAGUGAAAAUUACGCUAAUACCGCAUACGAUCUAUGGAUGAAAGCGGGGGAUCGCAAGACCUCGCGCGAUUGGAGCGGCCGAUAUCAGAUUAGGUAGUUGGUGGGGUAAAGGCCCACCAAGCCAACGAUCUGUAGCUGGUCUGAGAGGACGACCAGCCACACUGGAACUGAGACACGGUCCAGACUCCUACGGGAGGCAGCAGUGGGGAAUUUUGGACAAUGGGCGCAAGCCUGAUCCAGCCAUUCCGCGUGCAGGAUGAAGGCCCUCGGGUUGUAAACUGCUUUUGUACAGAACGAAAAGGUUUCUACUAAUACUAGGAGCUCAUGACGGUACUGUAAGAAUAAGCACCGGCUAACUACGUGCCAGCAGCCGCGGUAAUACGUAGGGUGCAAGCGUUAAUCGGAAUUACUGGGCGUAAAGCGUGCGCAGGCGGUUAUAUAAGUCAGAUGUGAAAUCCCCGGGCUCAACCUGGGAACUGCAUUUGAGACUGUAUAGCUAGAGUACGGCAGAGGGGGAUGGAAUUCCGCGUGUAGCAGUGAAAUGCAUAGAUAUGCGGAGGAACACCGAUGGCGAAGGCAAUCCCCUGGGCCUGUACUGACGCUCAUGCACGAAAGCGUGGGGAGCAAACAGGAUUAGAUACCCUGGUAGUCCACGCCCUAAACGAUGUCAACUGGUUGUUGGGUCUUAACUGACUCAGUAACGAAGCUAACGCGUGAAG
Molecule: ribosomal RNA, 838 nt
Filed under: uncultured Comamonadaceae bacterium
Lineage: Bacteria; Pseudomonadati; Pseudomonadota; Betaproteobacteria; Burkholderiales; Comamonadaceae
Description: bacterial SSU rRNA
Rfam family: Bacterial small subunit ribosomal RNA
Source: RNAcentral